CACCAUAAUCUGUAUUCUUUCACCCCAAAAGCAUACCCAAGAAAAAUGCACUUUUUAAACCUAGGCUCCAAUUUUUCAUCAUUCACAUGCAUGUAUACUGGACACCUAAAAACUUUUAAAUUGGAGUAAUUAGCAGGAGUACCUGACCAAACUUGCUUAGGAAUUUUAAAAUCAAGAGAUGCAGAAGGAGAAUGGUUGACAAUAUAACAGGCCAUAUUGAUCGCCUCUGCCCAAAAGUCGUUUGUCAACCCUGCAUUGGAGAUCAAACAUCUUGUUCUCUCCAAAAUCGUUCUGUUCAUACGUUCGGCCAUACCAUUUUGUUGAGGCGUCAUUGUGACAGUGCACUGCCGAACAAUUCCUUCAUUUUUGCAGAAUCUAUCAAAUUCACUUUCAAAAAAUUCCAUGCCAUUAUCUGUUCUCAACCGCUUAAUAUGUUUUUCUAUUUGUUUAUCAAUCAAAACUUUUCAUUGCUUGAAGUUAGGAAACAUCAUUUUUAUACUUAAGAAAAUAUACCCAAACUUUCCUUGAAUAAUCAUCAAUGAAAGUCAAUAUACCUGGCACCACCUUUAGAAGGAGCACGAGAAGGACCCCAUAGAUCUGAAUGAAUGUAAUCAAGAGUACCUUUUGUCUUGUGAAUUGCUAGUGAACUGAACCUUCUACUUCCCAAAAAUACAAUGCUCACAUAAUUCCAAUGCCCGGUACUUUGUCCACAAUGAAGUCCUCUUUUGCUCAGUAUGCCAAGUUUUUUCGCUCAUCUGCCCCAAACGCAUAUGCCAUAAUUUGGUGAUGUCUAUAUCUGACAAAGAUGAUGUUGAAACAGCAGCAAGACCUGUAAUCAGUAGAUCCCUGUAAAAUAUAUAAAGUAUCAGAUCUAUGUGCUUCAUAAUAACAAAAGCACCUCGAGUGAUUUUGAGAACUCCACCUCCACCAGAAUACCUGCACCCAAUAGACUCAAAGUGCCCAAAGAGAUGAGAUUUUUCUUCAAAUUUGGAAUAUGUUUAACAUUUGUGAGCGCCUCACAAUACCAUCGUACAUUUUUAUUCGGAUUGUGCCUUUGCCAAUAACUUUACAAAUGGCGUUGUUACCCAUUAAGAUAACUCCACCUUCAGUUGAUUCAUAUGUUAAAAAUCAGUUCCUAUUAAGACAUAUGAUAUGAACAACCCGAAUCUAUAAUCCACUCAUUGUUAGACCUAAAGUCAUUUUCCAUUGCAUGGAAAAUGGGUCCAUCAUUCGCAUCAACUGCAAUGCUGGCCUCGGUGGUCUCACUCUUUUUCUCCUUUUGCUUUUCUUUAUUUUUCAAUUUAAAAGCAAUCAGAGAUAACAUGCCCUUCUUUUUACAAUAGUUGCAAACCACAUUUUUAUGUCUGGAUUUGGAUCUAAUUCUAUUUUCUAUGUUUCUCUUUUUAGAUCUACCCUGAACAAACAAACCAUCGAUUUGACUCCCACUAGUUUCCCCAAUAAUAUCCCUAUCUAUCUGCUCUUUAGAUUUUAAUGCAAAUUUAAUUUCCAAUACGAAAUUGUUUCCUUUCCAUAAAUCAUAGUAUCACGAAAUGCUUAAAAGGACUGGAGAAGGGAACACAAAAGUAAUAGGGCCUGAUUUUCAUCAUCAAUUUUCGAAUCUAUAUCCUUCAAAUCCAUAAUAAUAGAAUCAAAUUUAUCAAAAUGGGAGAGUAUAGAUGUAACUUCAGACAUCCGAAGCAUAUACAAACUCUGCUUCAGAUAUAACCGAUUCUCGACUUUUCUUCAUAUACAAGGCUUUCAAUUUAUCCUACAUAGCUUGGCCGAAGUCUCCGUUGCUACCUCCCGUAAAACUUCAUCGGAGAGAUUCAAAAUUAUGCUGGAUCUAGCUUUCUUAUCCAUAUCGGCGAAAUUCACAUCCUUUACAUCUUCUGGCUUGUUUUUAAUUCCUUGUAUUGCCAAAUCAACUCCGUCUUGAACAAGAAUGGCCUCCAUCUUGAGUUGCCACAUGCCGAAGUUGACAUUCUUAUCGAAUUUUUUGACAACCGUCUUUGGUAUCGUUAUUGUUGCCACAAAAAUCUGUAACCUGAUCAAACAAAUAUGCAAGUCUCGUUAGCGGAUCCCACAGGGUGAGCAGGCCCCACGGGAUGAACUGCCCCACAAGAUGAGCGGGCCUCACCGAUAAAUAGACCCCACAGGAUGAGUGGCCCCACAGGAUGGACGGGCCCCACCAGAUGAACCUGUCUUGCAAAAUACAUCAACCAACUCUGAUACCAGUUUGUUAGGACUGGCUUAGGAAUAAACAAAUUAAAAUUAGAACAAAAUAGGCAGUAUACCCGACCAUAUAAAGAUUAGGCGGUAGACACCAGCCAUAUAAUAAUUAGGUGGUAAAACCGACCAUACAAAAGGGUUGUAGCAACCCAAUAAAGACAAAUAACAAAGCAAAAUAAACAACACAGAAAUUUGCGUGAUUCGGUCAAAUUGACCUACGUCCACGAGCGAGGGAGGAACAAUAUUUCUACUAUGAAGAAGAAAUACAAAAACCGUAGGAAAGUAGUUCCUAGGCCAAAAUGGCACUUACAGAAGGUUUAAGAAAUAUUUCUAAACUCAAAACAAAAGAGCCUAAAAUAUUUGACUAUAAAUGGGCUAGAUGACCCAACAAACUAAUAGCCCAUAUAAUGCUCUCUUGAGUGGUACAUUUAAAACCUUCAUAGGGCCUCUAUAUUUAUAGAUGUAUAAGGGAAGGCUUCCUCAGCCUUCCUCUGAUGUGGGACGAAACUAAAGGAAGAAAACUUCCUUAUGCAAAGUUGAUGUGGGACAAAGUCAAAACUAACACUUGGGAAUAAGAAGAUCUUUCAAACUAAACUUGCUGAUUUGCACAAAGAUUAAUAUCAACCUACUGGAAAAUAAAUGAUUACUAGAAAUUAGCCUAAUACUUCUAAGAAAUCUUUGAAAAUCCUAAUUCUAGCCUAUGAUUCUAAGAAAGUUGUUAAAAGGAAAAAGAAAACAUCAGACUUGUCAUUUUUUGGAGCGAAAGUAGUUGCCUUAAUUUGAUACUGUUAGGUAUGGUCCCAAAAAAUGACCCACGAGAAUAAAAGGGUUUUUGACAACUCAAUAAUAACAAUAACAAAACAAAUAAAUCAAACAGAGAAACACAACAUUUCUAUGAUUCGAUCAAACUAAUCUACAUCCACGGGCAAAGAGGCAGCACAUUUACUAUAACCAAAACAGAGUACAAAAGAGAGAAUACAAAACCUUAGAAAAUAAUUCCUAAACCCAAAAGACACCUAAAACUGAAAACACAAAAGAGCCUAAAUAAUACAAAAGACUUAAUGGCCCAAAGACACAUAACUUACUCUUUUGGAUUGAUGCCUAACCAAAACUCCUCUCUUAGAUUGGGGCAUGGACCCCCUAAAACUCUCUUGAAUUGGUGCACACGGCAUUUGGAUUGGUGCCUAUAACACAAUUAAACUCUUUUAAAUCUACUAUAUUUAUAACUACCAAUAGGAGAUACUUCUUUAUAAAAGUCUUGAUGUGGGAUACAAGGACACAUAACAACAAAUCCCUACGUUAACGUGUAUUCUAUAUCGCUAAAUAGUAGAUAAAUAGUAAACAAGCUACACCUUCACCAUAAAAGUUUCAGCGGAUCUCAAUGAACCUCAACAAGCCACCAACGAACCAAGAUACAAAAGAAUCAACAAAUUCCAAUAGGCCAAAUUUUAUAAAAGGUUCAACACAUCCAAACAGGUUAAAAACCACGAACAUAGUAAUAUUUCUCCACGUUCUUCUCAAAAGCCUCAACGAGUUCCAACGGGCCAAAUAAUUCUUCUCCAAAAUCCAAUUGAACUCCAGUGAAAUUUAUUUUUUCACUCUCUGUAAUACCAAAAUCUGACCCUGACCCUGACCCAAAACUUGAAGUUCAAAUACCAAUUUGUUAGUUUUGGUUCCAGCAAACUGACCCACGAGAAAAAUAGGGUUCUUAACAACUCAAUAUUGACAAUAACAAAUCAAAUAAAUCAAAUAGAGAAAUAUGAAAUUUACGUGGUUUGGUCAAACUAACCUAUGUCCACGGGCGAAGAGAUAGCACAUUUACUAUAACCAAAAGAGAGUGCAAAACCCUAGAAAAUAAUUUCAAAACCCAAAAGGUACCAAAAAUUGAAAACACAAAAGAACAUAAAUAACACAAAAGAAUUGACAGCCCAAAGGUCGAUAACUUGUUCUUUUGGUUUAAUGCUUAACCAAAAUUGCUCCAUUAAAUUGGGGCGUAGAUGACAAAAGCAGAAUAUACAUAUAACAAUUAACUUAUCCACAGUCAAGCUUACAUUUAUAAUAUUUAAAUACCCCACAUGCAAUUUUUCUGCAAGUGUACAAGUCAUAAGCAAGUAUAGAGUAUUAAGGGUUGAUCCCAUAGAGAAAAUUUUUCGAUUACCAGUUGUUUUUUAACUCUUUUAUUAUUUUGACUACCAUAAAUAUAAAAGUAAUGAAAAUAAUACUAGAAAGUUUCUAGAAGUAUGGAAUUCCUUACUACUUUUGCAAAUGAGAUUACCGGUUAAGUGAAUGCUAUUAUUUUGAUUAGUUAUGGUGUAAUUUCCUAAUGUAUAUGAAACCUACCCUCGUAGUGAAUCAACUAUACUUGUAACUAAACCAUACAUACUCAUGUGGUUAUGAAAUUAACUACAAACUCAUUUCUUCUAUGAAAUUGUAUGAAACAAGUCACUAAAGCCACAAAGGUGCACCUCUACUCUCGUGAGUAUACUCUCUAAAUUUAUCACUUCCUUGAACUAGUGUUAAAUUUCAAUUCUCAUUGUAACUUAACACCUUAAGAUUAUCACAGUCAAUGACCGGUUAAUCAAGAUUAAAUAAGUAAAAGUAAUAAAUAACUUGAUCAAAAUAAUAUCAUCAAAUAAUCAAGUAAGUGUCACUAAUAAGAUAUAGAAAUUUCAUCCAUAGCUCUAGCCAUGAAUUUUAACUAAACAUAAAGAAAAACAAAUCCAAACAUGUAUUAUACCUAAACAUGAAAUCAAAUACAAAAGAAAAAGUAUUAGGAGAGAAGUCAGCCUUGUCACAUGAGAUCAACCUCUCCAUCUUUGCUCCUUAAUCUUCAUCCAAAUUUAACUAUAAAUCCAAGAAAGAAAAACUACACUAACUAUACUAAUCUACUCUAACUAAUGAACUAAGGAAAUUCUAUUGAAAACUACAUUUUUUGUGAGUUUCUCUACCCUUCUAGUUGUCAUUUUUGACUCUUGAAAAUCCCAUGAGUUGUCUCUCCAACUUUCCUCACUUUUCUUGAUCAGAUACAACCGAAAUUGAAUUGAAAAAGUUGUGUGAAAGCAGGGCAAGUUGAUGAGCAAAUUACAGAAAUCAGGCAAGAAUACGCGACCUUGGAAUACGUGACUUCAGCUCGCGUAUUCAAGGUCGCGUUUUCACUCCUGUGAAUGUGGCACCAUUUCAACAGCUAUUUUCUUGAUGAUGGAGGCCAAACUAGCUCUUGUGCGAAACAUACAAAUUAUAGUCCUUUGAGUUAUCUUUCGAAUGCCUCAAGAAUCAUCUCAUUUGGAGCUCUGUGGACUGAGAAAUGACCAAAAUAUCUUCAACUGGUCAGAGCUCUGUGGACUGAGAAAUGACCAAAAUAUUUUCAACUGGUCAGAGCUCUAUUUCAACUUUCGACAGCAAAGUUGCACUUCUGUAUUUUGACUUUUUGACAAUAAAACUAAUUAAACUGGACUUUGAUGUCUCAUACCAAAUGCAGAUCUAUCUCUUACCUUCAAAAUAGCAUAAGAAUCACCUCAAUCCAAUCAUUUUGCUCAAGAUAUAGUCAAAAUACUAUAAAGGUGUCAAACCUGUGAAACUUCCUUUCUUUUGCUCUUGCUUUCAUUUCUUCUUUUGCACUUUAUAUUCUAUUUUUAUCACUUCAAACCAUCAUCAAUCAUUCAAUUAUCUUCUCAAUUCACUCCAUUUGAUGUUUGAAUUAUUAAAUCUACAAAAACAUGAAGUUUUCACUAUUAAAAUCCAUUAAAAUGCAAUUUUUACCACUUAAACCACAAAAUACAUAUUUUCACUAGAAACUUAGUUAAUUAGCUAUAAAAGUAGUUAAAAUACACCAAAACUAACUAAUAAAAUACACUAAAAACAUGUAAAAUAUGCACUUAUCAAACUCCCCCACAUUUAAACCAUUACUUGUCUUCAAACAAUUAGAAAUAUAAAUCCAACAAUGAUCCAAAAUUUUUGGAAAUAAAUAUACUUGUACAAUUCAACUUCAUUUUCUCAAAACAAGGUGAAUGACCAUUAUGUAAUCAUUAAAUUAAGUUCAAGUACUCGUAACAUCAAGUAAAGGAGAGUCAAUUAUACCAUAAUUUUAACUUGUUCAACUCAAUUUCUCAUCCUUACCUAAUUUCAUAAAGUAAGUAAGUCAUAUGAUCAAUAAAAUAUUUUCUAAACCCAUGAUCAUCUUCUUAUUCAUAUUUAAAAAAGAAUUUAUUCAUAUCACAUAUAUAAAUAUUACUCUCAAGUUGUGAAAGUGCCUUUUGACGCGAAAAUCGACACUUUUAGAUGAAGAUCACCGGUUACUCAACACUUCACAUUCUCAAGUUGUCUUGCCUACUCUUAGUUCAUGUACCAUUUUUUGCGAAAGUUGACAUUUUUGGAUCAAGACUCCUGCCGUUACUAAGCACAAGAACCAUUGGAGUAAAAUUAUUUUUAUUCUCUUUUCUUUUUUUCUUUUUUUCUUCUUUUGUUUGUUUCAAAGCAAAGUUAAUAACAUUCACUUAAAAGAAUAAUCAUAAGAAGAGUAUUACACUUAUUGACCACAUUAAUCACUUAACUAUGUAAAAUCAAUUAAAGAGAAAAAAUUUCAUCAAAAUUGCAAAAUUUUGGCAUAAUUUUCUCUACUUUUCACAAUAUAUUUUCCUAUAAAUGCACAAAUUAUAAUCAUAUAAUAGUCAUUUCUAAGUUAAAUGAGAAAUGAAGUUUUCAAGUCACAUACAUUUAUUUCAAAAGUAAAAGGAAUUUGAAUUACUAAUGAUAUGGAACUUGUUUCCCUUUGGAUAAAAUUGAAAAGUUUGAAACUUUUUGGGGCAUUUUUGUAAUUUUGGAUAAGAUUUUGAAAAAUUUUUUGACAGAGUUUCUCCUUAUAAAUGGACUAAACUCUUUGCCAACAAACCAAAUUUUUGAACAAAUUAAAGCAUAAGAAAUAUUCCCAAUAUCAAGUCCGAAUCAUUUCAAUCACCACCAUAUAUAUAAUCUCAAUUCUCUCUCCAAACUCACCAUGCACAUUGUACUCAAUGUAUAAAAAGGGAAAUCAAGAUAAAAAAUAAUAAUACUCCCCUACCGACGUAAUUGACGUAUGCAAAUAUGAAAUUCGUAGUAAAGACAAGAUAGACUUGGACCAGAAAAAAACCCGUGCUCAAAAUAUUUUGAGCACGGGUUUUGUCGGUAAAAAAAAUAAAAUGGAUUCAAGUAAAAUUUUUUCAAACGUAUCAAUAAGCUAGACCCAUACUGCGGGUUGUUUCAUGCCAUAAAUAAACUCGAACACUCAAGAAAUCCGUUGGGCAGGCGGAUUCACAUCUUUUACGACCAACGCAGUCUUCGGUUCUUGGAGCAGAAGCAAUUUGUUUAGCUUUACAUCCGUCCCAAGGUAUCAUUUCUAAUACAUCGGUCGGGCAAGCUCGGACACAUUGAGUAUAUCACAAUCCAUUGUUCGUGUAUCUUCAAAGUUUCAUGAAUUCUACUUGAUAACCAUUAGCAAUAGAAACCUAAGAAUGGAAAAUAAAAGGCAAAGAUGAUAACAAAGGUAUUAACAAACAUAAAACGGUGAUCCGUAACUUCAUUCCUUUGUUUUGAUGAUGUACCCACAUAAAAUAUACAAGAAACUACACAAGGUGUGACGCCCCAUUUCUCCUAAGGCGAACCAAAGGGUAUCCGCGAGACACCUGACCAACUCUCUCAUUCAAAUUUAAUGCAAUACUAGACAUCACAACUAGAUAAAACAAGUCAAAUAAUGCGGAAGCUUUCAAACUUAACAAUUUAUAACGAUUAUCCAAGCCAUUACAUCGAAUAUCCAAAGGAUACUUCAAUGCCCAAAAUAUACAACAUCCAAAUACAUCAAAUAUCCAAAUCAUACAUUAAGAUUCCCAAAAGUAUAACCAAUAAGGGGUCUAGCCCAAAUUACAUUCCCUAAGCCAAAAGUACAUCAAAAUGGGGUUUCUCCAAAUUCAUUUCGUGUCCAAUCCUGUUAAGAAAACAAAUCUACAGGGUGAGCAAAACGCUCAUGAGGCCAAGAUCACACAUGCAAGCACAUUGUCCAAGUAACAAACCCAAAUAACAGGUCAAUUGAUAAAGUAUAAGUAAUUGACAAUUCCAAUAAAAUGUAAACAGAAACAAUUCAAGGAUAUGGUAGCUCUCAGGAGCUAAGUUCCACUUGCUUUGCCAGAGUCAUUCGUAUACCUUCCCGCAAUGACUCUCCAUCAACCGGGUCGGUAUUCCGUCCCGUAGAUCUCCACUUACUUCUCAUGUCCGUGCACCGUACAUACCACUCCGGGCCCGCACGUCAUUUAUAGGGCGAUACUCCACGAGUAUGCCAAGCGAGAUUCUCAAAUAGAUCAAGUUUAUCAGGUAAUCUCAUGACUCACCGAGGUUCUCGACCAAGCCCAUGCCGCCUCGAGUCCCACGUCGGCCUAUGAGUUUGGGCAUCCCCCAUGUACAUGUAUGUGUAGAGGAGAUUCACUCCAGCGACGUAUGCAGCCAUAGCAUAUUAUUUCAGGUCAAGCAAGCAUUUGAUAUAUUCAAGCAUUCAUGUCAUAUCAAGCAGGUCAUUCAUUUCAUGUCAAACAAGUUGAUCAUGAAUUAUUUGUUUCAAAUGAGAAUGAGUGCGAUAAAAUACACAUUCGACUCCAUUUUUAAAAUCUUUGAUCAUUGGUUACAGGUAAACUUGUAUCAAGUUCACAGGAGUUCAAGUAAUCAUACACUUGACACUCACCAAGUAAACAAGGAAGAAAUGUCACUUGAAGUUCAGGUGUCCACCGAGAAUCCUCUUGAAGGUUCUCGUGCGAGCCUGAGCAAUUUAAUAGUGAAGUAUCAUUUAUAAACCCUAAUUAUCACGCAUGAGUGUACGCUUGUACAAUCCGAGAAAAUUUCAUGAAAGUGAGCCUAAUUUAUUCAUAAAUUGAGGCUCAAAAGUGGGGUUUCAAAAGUACAAGAGAAAUCGAGUUUUCGCCUUUGAAAUCAAGGGUAAAACGUUCAAGUGAUAUCGAGAGAAAAAGAAGAAUUCGAACAACUCUAUUUCCCUUAAGUUUUGGAAAUUUCAGUUUUGAUACGAGAUCUUUGAAAAAUCGUAUCUCACUCGUUACAAGUCCAAAAUUGGAAAACUUGGUACCGUUGGGAAACUCCUUCCAAAGUACUAAAGUUCCUAGAAUAUACUUUCCCAUGAUUCCAAACGGAAAGUAUUCAAAAAUUAGCUCAAAGUUGCUGUUUUGGGGAACUUAAGACAGGUUUAGGUUGGUUUUUGGCCAAUUUUGAAAAUUCGGCAAAAUUCACUUGAUUUGAACUAACAUCUGAAAUUUGGAAAUCUAUUAGAGUUACAAUCCAAGUUUAAAAAAAAAAAAUGGAACAAGAAUCGGAGUAUUGAGAACCAAGAUAUGAUAGCUCAAAUUUGGUGAAAAAUCGAAACUGUUAAGCAAAAUUCCAGAUUUAAACUUCAAAUUUUGGGACUUUGGUUAGGUAUUGAAACGGACUCAGAACGGCACCAAAUUUGGUAUGAAUACACUACCAUAUAAUGGCUAUUCUUCUACCAAAUUUCAUUGAAAAAUAUGUACGAGAAAUCGGUUAACGAAACUACUAAAAUCCCAAGAAGUUCCAAGGUAAAUCUGCCUUGGACUUCCGUUUUUUCCGUUUUCAAAUAUUUGGCCAAGAAAACAUCUCAAACAUGGUCCACUCCAGUAGUUAAUGUCUAAGAGAUGUCCAAUAUACAUUUGGUAGGUGAUUUACACCAAGAAAUUCAAAACAACAAGUCCCAAUAAGGAUUUAAGCAUUCACUAGCCAAAAGAGGAUUUGAAUUCGCCUAGUCAGUUUUGGAGAUUGGCCACAACUCACUCAAUUCGACUCGGAAUUGAGCGUGAUUGGUGGCAUUGAAAACUAGAUUCAUAAAGCUACAAUUUCUUAGAAGAAAUUAUUUUCAAAAUCUGUCCACAACCAACUCAUAUGUGAGCAUCAAUUCGCUGCUCACAACCAAGCUUCUAGUGAACUAAUGAAACAGGUCAGUCAACUUCAAACGGGUGGUACGGAUUACUCAUGUGGAAUCAGGACGUGUAUUUUUUAUACCGUUGGAAAGUUGGGAAUGUCCAGUUUCCAAUGCCAUAAAUGGCACUCAAUUUCAAUAUUGGAGUAAAAUGUUAUGGCCGAAAGAAAAAGACUGUCUGGGCAAUCCGAGAAAAUUUUCCAGUUUUGCUAAACCUUUGAAAUCACUACCAUUGACCAACCAAAUCUUUCUUGAAUAAAAUUCACUUUCAAAAUUCAAAAUUAGAGAUUAAAAGAAAAUCAAAAAAUUUUUCUCAAAGUUUGAAUACUUACCUUUCCUGCGAACAUGACGCGGGCACGUCAUGUAGGCACGAAGCGAAGUGAAGAGCUCUCCAGGUUACUUGACGCGGGCACGUCAUGAGGACAUGAACCCCUUCUGACGAAUCUGACCAUGAGCCCUUCAUGGGACUUGACACGGGCGCGUCAUGUCAGAAGGAUGCCUAUGAAUCAUCAAAAAUGAAAAUUGAAGCAAAAAAAUCAGUCAAAUCCAAGGAAAAACAUAUUUAAACCAAACAAAAACGAACAAAUGAUUAAAAGAAAUUGGGUUGCCUCCCCAUGAGCGCCUUUCUUUAAUGUUUUUGGCCAACAUUGUCAUGUUUGUUCAGGGAGGAUAAAAUCUUGUGCCUCGUUUCAAUGUUUCAUCCUCUAUAGAGUCUGAUAGCCCUCGUAAAUAAAGUAAUUCUUGGCACACGAGCUACGGGCUUCCAUAGACUAGUAAAUGGUGCCAAACGAGUCAACAAUAAUUUACAUUCUCCAUUCACUCCCCUUCACGUGCAUUUAUUGGUCCAAGAUAUCUUGUCAUCGCUACUCUUAAUUUAUUCCUAUCAUGAAAUUCAAAAUUUUCUGGUAUAAUAAAGUCAAUUUCAUUAACAGGAAUUAAAGAAUAAGAAUCAGGAGAAUAUUGAUUAAGGAUUGAGGAGAUGUCACCGCAUUUGGAGAUUGUUCAUUGGAUUCAUUCACCUGGACGAGUUGAUACUUGGGCCUCAUUUCUUGCACUUCAGCUUCUUUUCAACUGCAUCUUUAGAUCCGUUUCCUUGAAACUUUUGCAGUUCCAUGUCAUUUGGCCGGAUAAUCGCACUCUCAUCUUCUUCAAGGUUGAUAUUGGUUUGUGAGGGCAAUUCUUCAAGGUGAGAAGCUAAUCGCGUUAUCUUGGAUGUCAAUAGAUGUAUUUGAUCUGCCAUCCCGGAUAUCAAUAGUUGCACUUGAUCCGCCAUCGCUUGUGUCUCCUGCUGAGUUCGAUAUGUAUUAGCAGCUAGUAAUUCAAUCAUUUCUUCAAGAGACAUACCUGACACGGAUGAUGGUUGUUGAGAUUCUUGUUGUUGAAAAUCCAUAGGUCCGGUCGCAUAAUUAAAAUUGAAUUAUCCCAUCAUCCUUGAUCAUACCUGUUUGAAUAAGGGUUAUACCACGUUUGAAAUCGAGGUGAAAAAUCUCCAAAAGUAUCAAUUGGAGCACUUAGAUUAUCUUGAAAUGCGGGGCAUGUGUCGGUUCAAUAACUUGAGGCAAAAUAAGUUGCACAAUUUGUAACAACCCAUUGAUCAUUAGAAAAAACACGAGUCUCAUAACCCCAUUCAGGAAUAAAGUCCAGUCUAUCAUCAAAAUACGGAAUGUUAGCAGCCAUAAACUAUAUAAAAAAAUAAGAGAAAAAUAAAUAAAAAAAUAAAAACAGAUGAACUCAAAAAGAAACAAAUUAAUCUGGCACCAGUCCCCGGCAGUAGCGCCAAAAAUUGACAGGCGUCGGCCUGUGCAAUAAUAAAACCUGCUCAAACUAAAAGUAAUUUCUGUACAUAGCGGUGAGUAGGGUCGAAUCCACAGGGACUGGGAGUAAUUAUUUCUUUUCAAAUUCACAGUGACAAGGGGGUGUUUUUGUGCAGAAGAUGACAAUCAAAGAAAUUCAAAUAAAAUCUAAGAAACUAUUAAAAAUUAAAUAACAAGUUACUAAAGUCAAAUGAAUGAUAACUAAUGAUCUAGCCAAGAAAUAACUUCAGCAAUAGUUCACCUAAUUGAUCAUCGAUGCAAAGCCAAUUCCAAUUAUUUACUAAUAAAUAGGUUAUAACUGCCAAACAAGCGAUGACAAUCAACCCCUCCUUACUGUGUUGGUGAUUAAGGUACGCCCGUUAAUCACUACUUUAAUUGAGAAAUAAUCUUAGGUACGCUUGUAAGAUUUAAUUCCCCAAUUGCCUUACGUAUUAGAGGAGCCAUAUUCUAACAAAAUAACACACCACCAGGGUUAUUUUAGGUUAGCCCAUGUAUUCCUUUGACACAAACCCAAUCAUGCUAGUUAUCACUAUUUUGAGACAAUUAAACAAUUAUAGAUUUAACGUCCCAAUUGAUAAUAGAUUAUCAAAUUAACUAAUUAUCCGGAUCCAAGACAAUCAAUUAAUUAAACAAUCAUAAGCACUGUAACUAGGGAAUAUGCAAAUACUAAUAAAUAAAAGAAAAAGGUAAAAUUAAAUCGAUCUCAUAAUUUUAGGCGAGUCAAAGCAUUCGUUGCUCCUUGACUAGAAAAAGAGGUUUAGCUCAUUAUUGAUGAAAAAAUCCCAUACAAGACUGCAUAAAUAGUUGCGACAUACAUUCUUCCAAUUAGGGAGGAAGAAACAGUGGAAAACCGAAUACUGGAAAAAAGACUACUUCUUCAAAAAGAUGAUAACCCCUUAUUUCUACCCUAAGUGUAACAUACGUGGACUCAAAACCACUAAAGGACAAGAUUGUCCAAAGCCCAAGAGAAGUCUUCUGCUACUCCCCGUACCUAUUGAAUUACUAAUCUAUUCUAAUGCUUGGCUCUCAUGUGCGGCGGCCCACCAGGAGAGAAACGACUCCAGCCUUUUGUGCUUCUUUUGAAUGUUGUCUUCUGCAAAUUACCAAAAAGAACUUGUGUCUCCUUGUUCCAAAAAUAUCCUUGAAGACCUUCCAUUUGAAUUCUUUUCCGAUGACUGUCAAAUUGGCCUUGAUUGUGAUAUUUUUGUUCUAUUCCCUGAAAUAAAUGUAAAUUACGAAAAGUGAGUAGAAUCUAAUAAUUAAUUUACAUCAGGUCAGGUAAUAGAGAAAAUUAAUAAUAAAAUAAAUAAUGAAAUUGUAACCGAUCAAGGGACAAAUUGUUAUUUUACCUUAGUUGGGAUUUUUCCUAAGAGAUUUUCCUUAAAUGUUGACAGCAUAAUCAGGGUUUAGUUCAUUGAGCAGUACUAUUGUAUAGCUUAAUUGGUUGUAGCUGUACUUUUGUGGAGCAGAUUCCUUUGCACUUAUGUACAUUCAUGUUCUAUUAAAUAAAAUCCCUUUUUACGUGGUGUGUGUUUAUAUAUAUAUAUAUAUAUAUAUAUGUAUGUAUGUAUGUAUGUAUAAGGCUCAAGAGAAUUAAACUUACAAAUGCACCCUACAAACCAUUCUCCUUUUCAUGUACUCCAUCUAUUCGUAUAACUCACGAUUUCCUAUUAUAUUUAUUCGACACGUACAUUGGUUUUCCAACGUCAUUGAACCAAGAUUGUGACAAACAAACAAAAACCUUAAUUUCAUCAGUCAUUCAAAAUUCACACAAAUGUUGAUAUCUUAGUUUCAAUCCACAUUUAUACACACAAAUACAAAUGUUGGCUCUGUCAUUCAAUGCUGUGAUUACAAGAAAUACGGCCCGUAACAAUCUACUUUGAAUGAUAAACUCUUAUGAAUAGGAAUAAAACUAACAUCUUUUGUCAUAGAAAUUACUUUUAAAAUUUUAAGAAUGCUAAGUGAAAUUAUUAGAAGCCUCUGAAAUUAUCCCUUAAGGAAAAUAAGCAAGGUAGGCAACAGACAUCCUGGUUACUGCGCACCACACUACGCCCCAUCACACCUAUAUUUGGUCUUGAAUUGAAUGGCAUUCCAAAAUUGAUUAUCAACAUUUGUAAAGAUGUAGAUGUACCAUAACUAGAUACCAACCCAAGGCAAUUGAGAAUCUAAAACUCUUGGAGACCUAAAAAAUCCUCAUUGGUAGAUCAAUGCGCUGCUGAUCAGGAAAAAUAAUUACGUGCGUAACAUUUCUAAAUUUCAGGUCAGGAGAAAAACUACGUGCAAAUUUUCCUUUUCGAUACAUGUGAUGAAGGCUACAUGCAUUUAGAAAUUUCCAAGAACCAAUAAAGUGAAAACAUGUAUGGUCGUAUUGGGCUAUUGAAAGCUGAAAGUAUCAUAAUCUGGAUAAUAAUUUAGGGGCAAAUUCCUCAUAUUUCCCUUGUAGUUUAGCAUUUUUUAAGAUACACCCCUUAUAGUUCAAAAAAGUCCACUUGUACCCUAUGUGCUUUGAAUUUAAGUAGGAAAACAUGGAAGCAGACUUCACUAGCGGAGAUUUCACUGUAAGCAUUUCAAUAGUGCAAUUAGUUACUUGAUUCUAAUGGCGUUAAGACUUAAUAAUAUUUUUCCUCUACAAAUACCUCCAAAUUAACAUUUGCAAUCUUUAAAAAGUUUCAAAUCAUCACUUUUUAGGGUAUUUGAACCUUCUAUACAAUAAAAAAUGGUUGAUAUAUUUUUAUUAUAAAGUCCAAAUGUUCAUCUGAGUGUAUUUUCGAAAGAAAACAUUAUUUUAGUUUAUUAUCACUAGAAACAAGUAAUUAAUCAGUUGCACUAUUGGAUUGUGUAAAGUUAAAUUUUCACUAGUAGAGUCUAUUUCUGUCAGUUUUCCACUUAAAUUAAAAUCACAUUGGAUGUUAGUGAAUAUUUUUUAGUCACAAGGGGUGUGUCUUAAAAAGAGUUUAAUCAUAGAGGUGUGGAAUUAGCCCAUAAUCUAAUUUUCCUAAAGAAGGAUUUUGGCUAAAAAUAAGAUGAGAGAGAAAUAAUGCAAGAAACCGAUAAAAGAAAUCAAGCGAUCGAUGUUUACCAAGACGAUGUUUCUUCUCAUUUGUGAAAAAAAUUCCGAACUUAUCAACUUUUGAUGUUUGGAAAAAAAAAACACAAAAGAUUAUCCAUGAUUUAUCGACUCGAAAAGAAAUAAGACAUGUAGCAUACUUCGAAGAAUUAUUUCUAGGUUUUUCUUGUUUAUGAAAUUCAAUUAGAUUUCAAUGGCACAUUAAUGAGUUAUCUUAAAAUACAAGUAUAUAAAUGGAAUAUGCGGCAAUCACAAUAGUAGAAGAAAUAUUUAGGCAAUCACACAGUGUUUUGUGUCCUUUGAAUUGCGGACCACUUCAGGAACAUUCCCGCUGUGGAACAUUGAUAUGCAUAGAUUGGUUUUAUUAAUUAAUUUAUUCUAAAAGUAUAUUCAAAAUUGCAAAAUACUUCAUUGAAGUUGUCUAUGGAGUUCACCGGAAUCCAUGGAGAAGGGAAAGCGGCAGAGAUUAUUUAGAGGGUAUACCCAACAUCCAAAUUUCCUACAAACAAUUUCCAUAUGUGCAUAAGGAAACUCAAUAAUUUAGAAAAGCUUUGAAAUCGAAAUGUUUUUUAAUUUAACAAAUUACAGUACUUAAAUUUGGAAAAAAUUAUUAUGAUGGCGUGGCAUUUCCUACUUUGACAUCUACAAAAGUGGUGAUACACCAGUGAUCUAAAAAUCAGUGAUACAUCUCAUCACUCUCCAUUUUAAUGCCUUACAAAGCUUUUGCAUAAACUGCAACUCAAAAAAAAAAAAAAAAAAAAGGAAACGAAGGAGGGGGAAUUUUCUACAAUUUCAUCUUGAAGGAGGGCAAUGGUUUGGGAUGAAACUGAAAUUAAAAAUAUGUCUUAUAGUUGCCUGCAUUUUUUUUUGUUUGGGUUUGUGUGUUGGGUGUGUGUGUGUGUGUGGGGGGGGGGGGGGCGCAUAUAGUUGCCUGAAUUGUUAAUGCUAUCUAUGAAUCGUAGUUUUAAUUGCACAUUUUGCGUGUACUUCUUGGAUAAUUUGUUUGCACUUGGUGAGGGCUGCUGACAAUAGUUCCUAGGUCCUCCUGUAACUUGUUGAGAAUGCCAUUAUGGAAGAGUUUAGAAUUUGGUACUUUUCCAGUUGCUUCCAUAGGCUGCUAGCACAGAAGAUGAUCUAGUCUUUGCAUUUGGAAUCUGCCAAGAAGGGUGGCCUUUGUGAUGAAGACUGCACCCCGUAGAGAAUCUUUUUCUAAUCCCAUUUCCAGAUUCUGAAGAAGCUUGAACCUGGUCACAAUUACGUAGCAGAUGAAAAUAUGAGAAUAAUAUCUACAAGAGAUGUCUAAAAUGGUAGAUACCGAUCCAGCAUCAUCUACUCUCUCUCCACUCGUGUUCCUUAUUAUUUUCAAAAUGCAAUUGUCUACACCAACCAGAAACUAAUUCAAACUGCCAAGACUAAUAGCAAUAAAGUAGUUAAAAGCUCAGGAGGAUUCAAAACUAGGUUUAGCUUGACACUGAUUAAUUGGAUUACUAGUUUUGUUUUUGUUAUGACUAAGUUCACUUCUGCUAAGCAUACGUACGGAAGAAUGUCAGAUUUUUUGCAACAUGUCCAAAAGUACAAAUAAGGUUGUAUUGGCAAUGUCAAGUUGAAAAUGAGAGAUCAAAUGGAAUAAGUAGGAUGUCCUGAAUGCAAAGAAAAGAUUAAAGAAAGGAUCACUCCUGUUCUAUUCUUUCUCACUCUUUUCAUUUGGCCCCAUAUCACGACUAGGUUUAGGCACAAGAUGUGUUAGGUCUGACCCUAAAAAAUUGACGAAAGGAUUUUUGAUAACUCCAAAAGACAAAUAACAACGCCAAAAUAAAUAAAAUAGGAACACAAGAAUUUACGCAGUUCGGUUAAAUUGACCAACGUCCACGGGGAGAGAAGUAUCAAUAUUUUACUAUGAAGAAAAAAGUACAAAAAUGUCUUAGGAAAAGAUUUCUAGGUCUAAAACAUCUAAUACUUAAAACACAAGAGAACCCAAGAUAUUUAACUAACCAAAAGGUUUAAUGAUCCAAAAGUCAAAAUAACCCACUAAAACUCUUUUGGUUUGGUGUGCUUAAUCCCAUCACAGGCUCACUAUAUUUAUAGGCAAUUAAGGGACAAGUUCUCUUAUAGAAAAGGAGACGUGAGACAAAGCCACUUUAACAAUUCUCCACCUUAGCAUGUCCCAAUAUCAACAAUAGCAAAUCUACUCCACCUUCUCCACAUAAGCCCCAACGGGCCUAAAUCACUAACAACGAGUAACAACCAAGUUCAAGCAUUGCUUGAAAUUUCAUGGGUCACCUCCUUGUCACGCACUUAAAAAGAAAUAUAUAGCACCAAUAUUAUUCUAAACCAUUUGAGUAGAAAAAACAGUUCAAACAAAGACCAAAGAAGCUGAGUUAGCCAACAGACUUCCUGGUCAAUACACGCCACUCUACGCCCCAUCAAACCUACUUAGGUCUUGAAUUAAAGGUCACUCCAAAAUUGCUUAUCAACAUUCGUAAAGAUCUCAAACUCUUGGAGAAUCCAUGGAGAAGGUAAAGCGGUGGAAGUGAUUUAGAAGUAUACCCAAAAUCCAAAUUUUCCUACAAGCACUUUCCAUAUGUGCACAAAAGAAAACUCAAUGAUUUAGAAAAGUUUCUAUAUCCAAUUUUGAAUGUCUAUUCAGCUUUCGCAUAAAAUGUAACCCCCCCUCCCCCCCCCCCCCCAAAAAAAAAAAGGAGGACGAAUUUUCUACAAUUUCUUCUUGACGGAGGCAGUGGUUUAGGAUGAAACUGAAAAACAAUAGUUGCAUGAAUUGUUAAUGCUAUCUAUGUAUCAUUGUUUUUGUUGCACAUUUUGGGUGUACUUCUUGGAUAGUUGUUUUGGCAUUUGGUGCUUUUCCAGUUGUUUCCACAAGCUGCUUGCAGAGAAGAUCAUCUAGUCUAUACAUGUGGAAUCUGCUAAGGAGAAUGGUGGCCUUUGUGAUCAAGACAGCAUCACAUAGAGAAUGUUUUUCUAACCCAAUUUCCAGAUUCUGAAGAAGCUUGAACCUGGUCAGAAAUAUAUAGCAGUUGAAAAAAGGAGAAUAUUAUCUACCAUAGAUGUCUAAAGCAGUAGAUACCGAUCCAGUACAAUCUACUCUCCCUUCACUCGUAUGUCGUAUCCCUUUCUAUCUUCGAAUUGCAACAUCAAACCGCUAAGAUUAAAAGCAAUAUUGUAGUUAAAAGCUCAGAAGCAUUCAAAACUAGAUUUAGCUUUAUAGUAAUUAAUUAGAUUACUUUAUUUUUUGGGGUAAUGGCUAGGCUAUAUGCACACAUAUGUAUGGGAAGAAUGCCAGAUUUUUUAAAAUAUGUCCAAAAGUACAAAUAAGGAGCAAUGGCAGCAUCAAGUUGAAAAUGACAGAUCAAAGGGAAUAAAUAGGAAGCACUCAAUGCAAAAGAAAAGAUUGAAGAAAGGUGACCACUUAAGUUCUAGUGUUUAGCAUUCUUUUCAUUUGGCCCCAUAUCACGACUAGGUUCAUUCAGGUACAAGAUGAGGGCUUACUUAGCUUAUUGAACGAAAAGCACUUGGAAAAAAAAAAAUGCUAUCAAUGCACUGAUCACAUAUACAAAUCAUCAAGAAAGAAGCUCUAUAAAUAGCAGCAUCGAAGCUGAUCAAAAGCAUAGGAUGAAUUAACAAAGCAUCAGAUGUCCUCUAGAGUUCCCUCAGAACACUUCACUGGGGGGACAUGUUUCUUUCUUUGACUCAUUUAGGGCCAAAGAACUUUGCCUACUGAAGUGUUUGGGGGAACUCCUGAGUCCAUUUGAUAUGUAAUGAAUAAGAUUCCAGAUUUUUGUUGUUGUCUUCAAAUUUCUUCCUAGCUUGUGAGCUUGAGCGAGCAUUAGGAUUGCGAAAAGUAGUUAUUCAAGCUAGUUGCUUAUAUGUUUUCUUGCAGUUUCUUUUGAGUUUACUUAUGUAGUUAUAUGCCUUCUUUCUUGGUAGAGAUGAGUUGCAUGAAGCAAACUACAUAAAGAAAAGAAUAAGGAACUUCAAUUAGCAAAUGCCCUGUAAAUUACUAGUUCAAAUUACUUAUAGCCUAUGUUCAUUGUUAGUUUCAUGCUGGUAUUAUAUAACAUGUCUAGUUUCUAGCUAAUGCUUUAGAUGAAUUAGGAUGGCCUUCGGAGAUAAUAUCCAAAAAGAAACGGAGGAAAAAUACGUAAAAUUGUUUCUGUACUGUGCAACAACUACCAUCGGUUUGAAGCUUAUGUAGAGUUUGUUGGAACUAUAAGAAGUCUCAGUUACUGUUGCUCAAAAUCAAGAUAAAAAGUGUUUUUCUUUUGUUGCAAUUCCUUUCAUUUUGUCUUACAAAUCCAAUCCCCCCUCCUCCCAAAGGUUUCAUAGAAUAUUGGCAAGGUUACAAUAGCAAUAUGAAGUAAAAAGGGAAUUGCAUGAUUUAUAAUGGUGGUUAAGAGUACAGAUACUCAAAGCAUGUUGCAGCUUUAACGUUUCCAUUAGUUGUACAUGCUAAAUAGUGCAUACUGCCAUCUACAAAAUGUUUUGUGCAUAGAUUUUCAUAAAUUUGUAUAAAUGGUUUAACAAAUAGGUAAGUAAAACUACAUAAUCACUUUUUAAAGAUAAAAGUCGUGUACUUUUAUUUUCAAUUAUGUAGUUUGAUUUCAUGAUGCAUGACUAAGGUUAGUAGUGUUAUAAUAUUUACAUCCGUAUGUUGGUUGCCUAAUGAUAAUAUCUAUAUUUUUCUCCAAAAUCGAACCUCAUUUGAUAUACCGCGCAAAAUAAGUUUCUUACUUCAGGUAAAGGAAACUGUUAUGGAUUUUACCGUGCCUCAUAAGUUGGACGAUUUGACAAGCGAGGAAUCGGUCUUUAUGAACCAAAGUUUCAGGCAUAAAGGUUGCAUACAUGGAAUAACAUCAAAGGGAUUAUUUUCAUUCAAAUGGAAGUCCGGAUACCAGUUCCAAUUUCAUGGCAAUGUUUCCAGGCCUCUCGCUAUAAACUUAACGUGGAUUAUUUUCUAUAGGUGAUCAGGGUUCUCUGGCAGAGGAAGCAUUAUUCGUGAUAUUUAGGCAAUUUUAUUGAUGGAUUGACAUAGAAGCAGGGACCCCUUCCCUACCAGAGGGUUUGAACCGAAGCUCUGUCUUGAUCGACAACUCCGGCCAGCGCUCGUUCAAAUGGACUGGAAGAUUGUGAUCAGCUUAGUUUGCAAUACAGUAAGAAUUCCAUGGAAAAUUCGUCUUUGUGUAACUCAGGAAAUUAAGAAGUUCGCCUCGCAUGAAAUUUUUUCUAUUAAACAUGCGUAGCAGCAAGUUAGAAGUCUUGAUCUAAAGUUGGAACUCUAGAAAUUAGAAAUUUUGAUUAAGAGCAAAAUGCACUUUAUCCCCCUGUAGUUUAGCGCUUUUUCACAUAACCCCUGUGAUUUCAAAAGUUAUACAUAAUCCCCUUAUAAUUGGAAUUAAAGUGGCAAUAUGACGAAAUUUACAUUUCAUAACGGAGUCAAAUAAAAUGUCAAAAAUAAUUAUUAAAUUUCACUUAUAAUAAAGUUAAAAUGGUUGUUAAUUACAAAAAGACAUAUCCAAAUAUACUUGUGUAUUAUCUACUUGAUUAUAAAUUUGAUAAUAAUAAUUUUGAAAAAUAGAUAUAUAUAUCUAUCAAUUUCGCACGUCACAAAGUUGUAAUGUUAUCAGUCUUGUUUAUAUUUCUUCACCUUUGUUCUAUUUCUUAGAAUAUUACCUUCUCUUGUAAAUUCUAAUAUGAAUGCUUCUACUGCUCUUGUUAUCAUAUUAUUUGAAUCAUUAUCAGAGAAUAUGGUGUUUUUAAUUUCAAUACUAAGAUGCUUCCAAAACCUGAGUGUACUAUUAACAAGUGUUUUUUCAAUAAAUCUUUUAGUUGUAUUAUAAUCCAUUUCAUAAAUGGCUGCAACUAAUCUUAAAGCUGUUUCCCAUUUAUCUAUAGCUUCUCCAGUAUUUAAAGACACAGUCUACAUCCAGAUACAUUCCAAAAGGUUUGUAUUGCUUCGGGUCUCAAUUUUUCUAAUGGAGUAAAUCCUUUCGAAUCUACAUUUUUUCCUAAAGAAUGGACCGCAGCAUAUCCUCUAGCAGGUCUAUUAAAGCUAUUAUUAACAUAUCUAGGAGUAUUUGAGCUAGAUACUGGGAUAUCAAGAAUGGCUGGAUUUUCAGGAAUCUUAUUUAAUAUCUGGUUUUAUAUUAAAUGUAUUAUCUAAAUUCAAGUGUCCUCUCUGAUCUACUAGUUCUUCAAUAUCUGAAUUAGAGGCUUGUAUAAAAUUUUUCAUUUUACAAAUCCUUUAGUAUUUUCAUAGUUGGGAUUGCUCUAAAUAAAGCUUGUUCAUUUUUAUUUCAUAUAUUUGUUUAGUCUCUGGUUUUUUUAAUAUCAGGUUCGUUAAUUAUUUUUUCAUCUAAUCUAUUAAUCCUUAUUUCUAUUUCUACUAAUUUAUCUAAUAAAUGUUUCCCAAAGUAUUUUAUUGUCUACUGAAUUUCUACCAAGUCAUUUUCAAUCUUUAAUCCUUUAGAAACCUAAUAUCAAGCCCGAGCUACUUGAUAGGGAUAUAAUUAUGCAUUUUAUUUGUGGUUAUUUGGUCUUAAUUUUGGCAGUAUAGUAUGCAAAGUAUUGGAUUUCUGCUCAUAAUUAGUAUUUGUGUUAAUUACAGGCAAUUAGUGUUGAAAGUGACAAAAGGGAGGCAAAAUCCAGAAGACUCUUGCUUCUAAGGCGUGCCCACGCCAGACAACACAGAGCUGCGUGAAAAAGCCGGAUCGCGGGCCCAAUCCCUGGAACAACCAUUCUGAUUGGAAGAUACCUUUUUACCAUGCGUGAGAUCAUGCGUGAGAUCAGGAAACCUUAAAAACAAGAAGUCGUUUGGCAACAAACAAUUAAGAAAGUAAGAAAAAGGAAUCCUUUUGGGAAACACAGGAGAAUUGGAAACCAAUUGGAAUUGGAAAGCAAGUGCUGCGAAGACCUUUAAGUAGCAGAGGAAAUAGAAUUCGAAGAGGACUUUUGGCAACAAUCCAAUGAGGGAAAUAAGGAAACAAUCCUUGUGGGAAACAAAUUCCAAUUCAACAAGCAAAGGGAAGCGGCAGCAACACUAUAAAUAAAAAGGCAGCAAUAGACUAGGGCAUCUUCUGUCUUGGACUUGUCUCUUUGUUCUUUUCUUCUUUUUCCUUUUGAACGCAAGUAGCAAAUAGGAGCCGACAUCUUUUAC
Molecule: long non-coding RNA, 22238 nt
Filed under: Coffea arabica (coffee)
Lineage: Eukaryota; Viridiplantae; Streptophyta; Magnoliopsida; Gentianales; Rubiaceae
Description: long non-coding RNA (CARA_LNC006354)
Rfam family: mir-395 microRNA precursor family (bases 18718-18833)
Source: RNAcentral